AAGAAAGAAAGAAAGAAAGAAAGAUUACAGCUUCUCUCUCCCUUGCUUAUAUUGUGCCUGUGAAGAACCGGAAGAACAGGAAGAAAAAGUUGAAGAACAAGAAGAAGAUACGGGUGGUGAGUGAUAACAAGUACAUUUCAGGUCAUGAAUGGCUUGUUUCCUCGUGAUGUCGAGUUUUGUACAGAAGACACAGUACCGUCCUCCAAAUAUAUCUUCAUCUUCAUCACUAUCGUCAACAUCUGUGGUAUCUUCUUCAAAAGUUUCCCCAGGUUCAAUUCUCCAAUCAUCACUUGUGUAGUAUAUCAAUCCCAACAUUGGAAGAAGCACCAUAAGAAUUUUAUCUAUACGCUUGUCAAAGCAUUCAUUUGUCCUCUUCCAGAACAUUAACGGCGCAACAACAGCUCCUGCCCCUACCCCAAAACCCAGUCCAGGGACUAUGAACUGCCAAUCAAAUUCAUUUCUUGGGUUUUGUUGCCUUGCAGUCGGUAAUGCACUGGUAUCUAGACAUUUUUCUUCCAAAGGAGCUCCACAUAAUCCUUCAUUAUUUGCAAAGGAAGCUGCUGAAAAUGAUUGGAGUUGAGUACUUGUAGGAAUCCUUCCGACUAGCAUGUUGUUUGAGAGGUUCAGGACUGAAAGAAAUGUUAGCUUUGCAAGCUGCUGAGGAAUUUCUCCAGUAAGUUUGUUAUCUGAAAGGUCUAAGGACUCCAGAUGUAAGAGGUUGCCUAAAGCUGAUGGGAUUUGACCAACAAGUGCAUUAUGUGACAAGUUGAGAGCAUAAAGUGCAUUUAAUUGCCCUAACCUUUCUGGUAUUGGCCCUUCAAAUUUGUUGCCAGAGACAUCAAUGGUUGUGAAGACUGUUAGGAUCUUCACCAAAUUCAUUUCAAGGCCUUUGCUGGUAACUGUUAUUGAAUCUUGAUAA
This 919-nucleotide unclassified non-coding RNA is filed under the name Hevea brasiliensis (rubber tree). The record is from RNAcentral. Lineage: Eukaryota; Viridiplantae; Streptophyta; Magnoliopsida; Malpighiales; Euphorbiaceae.